Mesocricetus auratus (golden hamster) is the source of this 287-nucleotide long non-coding RNA. RefSeq lists it as uncharacterized. The record is from RefSeq and is a predicted model, not a curated record. Lineage: Eukaryota; Metazoa; Chordata; Mammalia; Rodentia; Cricetidae. The transcript is spliced from 2 exons.
GGAGGCGGUGCAGUCUGGUAUGCUCUGUUUGUCAGUAUCUCUGCAGAACCCCUGGCUUCCGGGGUGAAGCUGUGCAGAGCUGUGUGAUUGAAGCUGCCAGACAGGCUUUCGGCCUCUGACUGACCACAGGCCCAGCAUGCUAACUCACCCCGACUUACAGACACCUGAAGACAGGAAGUUCAUCCAGGCUUGAGAAACUCUUCUUGCAUGCAUGUCUCAGUGUGAAGGUUAAAUGGGCUGAUCAUCUCAUGUUAGUGCAAAGCCAAUAAAAAGUGAUCAUCUGAUAA